RNAcentral lists this transfer RNA (76 nucleotides) under Ectothiorhodospiraceae bacterium BW-2. RNAcentral's name for it is "tRNA-His". It matches the Rfam family "tRNA". Rfam says of the family: Transfer RNA (tRNA) molecules are approximately 80 nucleotides in length. Their secondary structure includes four short double-helical elements and three loops (D, anti-codon, and T loops). The record is from RNAcentral. Lineage: Bacteria; Pseudomonadati; Pseudomonadota; Gammaproteobacteria; Chromatiales; Ectothiorhodospiraceae.
GCGGGCGUAGCUCAGUUGGUAGAGCACAGGAUUGUGGCUCCUGUUGUCGCCGGUUCGAUCCCGGUCGCUCGCCCCA